Molecule: ribosomal RNA, 434 nt
Filed under: uncultured Lachnospiraceae bacterium
Lineage: Bacteria; Bacillati; Bacillota; Clostridia; Lachnospirales; Lachnospiraceae
Description: partial 16S ribosomal RNA
Rfam family: Bacterial small subunit ribosomal RNA
Source: RNAcentral
ACGGGAGGCAGCAGUGGGGGAUAUUGCACAAUGGGGGAAACCCUGAUGCAGCGACGCCGCGUGAGUGAAGAAGUAUUUCGGUAUGUAAAGCUCUAUCAGCAGGGAAGAUAAUGACGGUACCUGACUAAGAAGCACCGGCUAAAUACGUGCCAGCAGCCGCGGUAAUACGUAUGGUGCAAGCGUUAUCCGGAUUUACUGGGUGUAAAGGGAGCGUAGACGGCAUAGCAAGUCUGAUGUGAAAGCUAUGGGCUCAACCCAUAAACUGCAUUGGAAACUGUUAAGCUAGAGUGUCGGAGAGGUAAGUGGAAUUCCUAGUGUAGCGGUGAAAUGCGUAGAUAUUAGGAGGAACACCAGUGGCGAAGGCGGCUUACUGGACUGUAACUGACGUUGAGGCUCGAAAGCGUGGGGAGCAAACAGGAUUAGAUACCCUGGUA